This is a long non-coding RNA of Pyrus x bretschneideri (Chinese white pear), 1899 nucleotides long. RefSeq lists it as uncharacterized. The record is from RefSeq and is a predicted model, not a curated record. The transcript is spliced from 2 exons. Lineage: Eukaryota; Viridiplantae; Streptophyta; Magnoliopsida; Rosales; Rosaceae.
UACAUCUUUUGAGAUAGAAACCCGCUGGUCCGUCUCUAUGAAAAUUUUACCAGUUUUUUGAUUAAAUCGUCUUUGAUUUGUAGAAUCACGUGCAAUCAUAAGAUACUACGCAGAAAAAUACAAAUCACAAGGGACUAAUUUGGUGGGAAGCAAUGGCUGGAAGUUGAAGCACACAACUUGCACCCACUAAUCUACAACUUGGUCCUUCAUAUUCUGUUUGCCUCAGUUUUGGGUUUUCCUUCAGACUCCAAGAUCAUUCAAGAAAGUGAGGAAAAGCUGGGAAAAGUGCUGGAUAUUUACGAGGAGCGGCUGUCGAAGAGCAAGUACUUGGCCGGUGAUUUCUUCAGCCUUGCUGAUCUUAGCCACCUUCCAUUCACUUACUACUUGGGGGCUCAUAUGGGGAAGGAGUAUAUGAUUAGGGACAGAAAGCAUGUCUCUGCUUGGUGGGAUGACAUUAGCAACAGACCAUCUUGGAAGAGGGUUCUCCACUUUGGUGCUACAAGAAAAAGGCCCUUCUGCGGCACUUUUUUUGCGACAGAUAACAUGGCCAUCGCAAACAAAAGAAAAUUUGAACGCUAAAUGUUAGCUCAAAAGUAUUUCCGACUCUUGUAUAAGUAACGUCGCAAAUAAUGUUUCAAAUAACAUUAUAAACGACGUUGAGAAAAGUUUGUGACACCCUAAACGAUAGAAUAAAAUAUAACGCCUAAAUUUUUUAAUUUUUCGAUUUGGCGCUUUAUUUUUCGAUGAAAACAAUCCAACGCGGCUUCAUUUUCAUUCUCUAGAAUCAUCCUUCUCUCUCUGCACCUUUUCCACUUUCCUAUUCGACCGAAAAAUAAGAGGCCUAAUCUAUCCAAUAAGAGAUUUUGGGGGAAUCAUCGGAAACUUUUUAGCAAAAUUGGAGAUCCCGGAGCACAAUCGGAGAUUUUCCAUCCGAGCCUGAGCGCCGUUGUUGGUGUGCAAGGCUUCGUGCGAGGCGCUGCAGCAGCUGAGGCAGGUGAUGAUGUACAUGCGGUGGAGGAAGCGGUUCAAGCACGGUUGCGGAUGAGUCAGUCCGAAUAUGAACAAGGCGCUCGACGCGUUUCUGAGGGGUGCGGCUUCUAGGUCCCCCAUGGCUAUGGUGGACACCAGGCUCAUAUACUGGGGAGGGGUUUGAAGGAGAAGGUCAUUGCUUUGUAUCAGAAAGCUGCGAAAUUGGGAGAUCAUGCUGGGCAGUGGAAUUUGAGAAUUUUCUAUUUGCAAGGUAUUAAUUUUACCAAUUAUCUUCUAUUUUAGUAUUUAAAUUAUGAAAAUAUGUGAUAGAAUUUGAUUAUUAUGGAACUGAAAUUUGCUAGUAUAAAUCUGUUUGCGAUUGUACUUCUUUCAAUCAGUGCAUUAGUUUGAUUAUAUUGAGAAAACUAGUUGUCCUUAAGUUGGGUAGAACGGCAAAAUAGGGUAAAUGUUAGUGUACUGCUGUUGGGAUUAGGAAAAUUGAUUUUGAACAGUUAGAACAUUUGGACCAGAAAGAAGUUUGGGGGAAAUUGAAUUCAUUUAGUUAGUGCUUGGGUAGAAUGCUCUUUUCUUCAUUGUGAAAAUAUGAUCAAUUUUUGGUCACAGAGUUGGAUGAAAUGUGUAAUUUCAACUAGGUUUCCAAUUCAUUCAGGGUAUGGUGGAGAGUUUUGUUAAUCACACUGCUUCGAGGAUGUCUCUGUGUAUAGUACCGUCCAAGGUCCCAAAGAUAAAUUAUAUUCAAAACAUAUGAAUAUUCUUAUAUUUGGAUAUGUUUUUUUUCUUGUGUUGUGGUGAUGGUAAUGAAAGUUGAGCUCUCAAAUCAUUAGGAUUUGUAUGCAAUGGACAUGUUUGACAUUCUGGUUAGCCAUUUUUCUUGCUAGUUUAAUUCUACAAGUACCAAUUUUCCUGAUA